CAUUUCUCAAUAUAUAAAACAAGGUUUUCUACGUAAUGUGUUUCAAUUAUUGUCGCGGUUUUAUUGAAAUAACCACCAGUGAUGUUCAUAGUUGUCCUCAUCUCGGCCCUGUUAGCUGGGUUAGCCUCGUCUACACCAUGUACGUCAUCAACUGAGUGUCCUACUGGGUCAAGUUGUCGAGAUGAGAAUGGAGAAAUAUUUUAUAUACCAGAAAACCAGUUCGGACCUAUAUAUGAGGUACCAGAAGGAGUUAAUGGUACUUGUGGUGAAGGAGCUGGAGCCGGUGAAAUCUGUAUGAACACCUCAGAAUGUCCUACAGGUUAUGAAUGUUAUCGGGAAAUGUCGGGUGCAUGCUGUCCACCAAGUUAUUGUAUAACAAUCGAGGAGGCUCAGGAGAAAAAAGAUAAAUGGAGUAAUUGUUUCCCACCUACCUGUUAUCCCCCGCCAUAAUAAAAGAUAAAAAUAAAUUAUAUAUUCAGUUA
This is a long non-coding RNA of Patella vulgata (common limpet), 482 nucleotides long. RefSeq lists it as uncharacterized. Lineage: Eukaryota; Metazoa; Mollusca; Gastropoda; Patellidae. The record is from RefSeq and is a predicted model, not a curated record. The transcript has 4 exons.